GGGCUUAUAGUUUAGUGGUAGAACGCCUCGUUUGCAACGAGGAGGUGGCAGUUCGAUUCUGCCUAAGUCCA
RNAcentral lists this transfer RNA (71 nucleotides) under bacterium. Its description in RNAcentral is "tRNA-Ala". It matches the Rfam family "tRNA". Rfam says of the family: Transfer RNA (tRNA) molecules are approximately 80 nucleotides in length. Their secondary structure includes four short double-helical elements and three loops (D, anti-codon, and T loops). Further hydrogen bonds mediate the characteristic L-shaped molecular structure. tRNAs have two regions of fundamental functional importance: the anti-codon, which is responsible for specific mRNA codon recognition, and the 3' end, to which the tRNAs corresponding amino acid is attached (by aminoacyl-tRNA synthetases). tRNAs cope with the degeneracy of the genetic code in two manners: having more than one tRNA (with a specific anti-codon) for a particular amino acid; and 'wobble' base-pairing, i.e. permitting non-standard base-pairing at the 3rd anti-codon position. The record is from RNAcentral.